AACAGGAUUAGAUACCCUGGGUAGUCCACGCCGUAAACGAUGUCGACUUGGAGGCUGUUCCCCUGAGGAGUGGCUUCCGGAGCUAACGCGUUAAGUCGACCGCCUGGGGAGUACGGCCGCAAGGUUAAAACUCAAAUGAAUUGACGGGGGCCCGCACAAGCGGUGGAGCAUGUGGUUUAAUUCGAUGCAACGCGAAGAACCUUACCUACUCUUGACAUCCAGAGAACUUUCCAGAGAUGGAUUGGUGCCUUCGGGAACUCUGAGACAGGUGCUGCAUGGCUGUCGUCAGCUCGUGUUGUGAAAUGUUGGGUUAAGUCCCGCAACGAGCGCAACCCUUAUCCUUUGUUGCCAGCGAUUCGGUCGGGAACUCAAAGGAGACUGCCGGUGAUAAACCGGAGGAAGGUGGGGAUGACGUCAAGUCAUCAUGGCCCUUACGAGUAGGGCUACACACGUGCUACAAUGGCGCAUACAAAGAGAAGCGACCUCGCGAGAGCAAGCGGACCUCAUAAAGUGCGUCGUAGUCCGGAUCGGAGUCUGCAACUCGACUCCGUGAAGUCGGAAUCGCUAGUAAUCGUGGAUCAGAAUGCCACGGUGAAUACGUUCCCGGGCCUUGUACACACCGCCCGUCACACCAUGGGAGUGGGUUGCAAAAGAAGUAGGUAGCUUAACCUUCGGGAGGGCGCUUACCACUUUGUGAUUCAUGACUGGGGUGAAGUCGUAACAAGGUACC
Molecule: ribosomal RNA, 730 nt
Filed under: uncultured bacterium
Lineage: Bacteria
Description: bacterial SSU rRNA
Rfam family: Bacterial small subunit ribosomal RNA
Source: RNAcentral